Heterocephalus glaber (naked mole-rat) is the source of this 2023-nucleotide long non-coding RNA. The record is from Ensembl. Lineage: Eukaryota; Metazoa; Chordata; Mammalia; Rodentia; Bathyergidae.
CAUGCUUGUAAUCCUAGCACUCUGGGAGGAUGGCGAAGAAGGAUUCCAAGUUCGAGCCCAGCCUGGGCAACUUAGUGAGACCCUGUUCAAAAUUUUAAAAGGGCCAAAGAUAUAGCUCAGUCCUGGGUUUAAUCUCCAAUACUGAAAAAUAAAUAAAAUUGGUUCAACCUGACGUGGUGGUCCACAGGUAGUGGAUCACAAAUUUGAGCCCUGCUUGGUCAAUUCAGCUAUUUAGCAAGACCCCAUCUCAAAGAAUAAAAAUUUAAAAAGGGGAUGUAGCUCAGUGAUAAGGCCCUGGUUUAACCCCCUGUAGAGAGAAAAGUCAGGCGUGAUCACGCACGCCUAUCAUCCUAGCUAAAUGGAAGACUAAGGCAGGAGAAUCACAAGUUGGGGGGCCUGGGGAAUUUAGUGGGAGCCUGUCUCAAAUAAAAUUGGAAACACAACAGAGGAUGCUUUUUCCGCUUCAUUUCUGGAAGCCCCGCCUAUUCCGAGCAAGACGUCACUCAGGGAGCCUCCGUCUCCACGGCGACGGAAUGCAGCCUCGGAAAUCCCUGCGCAAGCGCAGAAAGAUUCCACUGGGGGGGAGGGGCGCGCCAGACCCGCCCCCUUACGCACAUUCAUCUACUGGGACUUCCCCACGGCCCCUUUCUGUGCCCGGUGUCCGCUCGCCCAGUUGACCGUCAGGCGCGAGUCUCUCUCUUUCUGAGGACCGUCCUCUCCUCACUAUGUGGCCUUCUUUGCCAGGAGGCGAUCGCGCAGACACAGAAGGCCCCAGGCCCGGCCGGCCCAGGCCCACCCGUUCGAUCGCAACCGUACACUCGAGUCUGCGCCGGGAAUGUCACACGCGCGGGGUCUCCUGGGAGCUCCCGCCCCGCCCCCUUGCGCGGUGCUGCCUGCGUUAUGCGCAGGCGCUCCUGGGAGCUCCCGCCCCGCCCACUGGCCCAGGUCCGCGAACUACGGCUCCCUGUAGGCAGUGCAGCGGCCUGGACCAGAGCCGGGGUCGCGACGGGCGGCCGGGUGGGCUCGGGCGCGGCGGGGCGGCCUGGCCUGGGUCCUGAGCAGCGGGACAGUCGGCUGACGACGAGGUGCAGGCUCAGCGCUGCCUGGUUACCCCGCGGCCCUGGGUCGAGCGCGCCGGAAAACUCUGGGGUUGGAUCGCUUGGUGCCCACGCCGAAGCUCUGCACGGUCGAGGCCAGUCUCUGGGGUCCAGGAGCCAGGGCUGCAGCCCGAGCCUCAAGGCGGGCCGGGACCGUGGACGACCGGACAGACUGGUUUGCUGCCUGCCCGCUUGGUUUGCUGUGUUCUGUGUUGGCAAUGGCUGCUAGCUUUCCACUGGAAAUCUUGGUGGCUGAGCGAAUUUGUGACCCAGGAAGUAACAAGUAAAUGCCUGGGAUGCUGACUGGAGGCUGCUGUGUGCUCUGAGGUGAGUUCUGAUUUCUCUGAAGCACAUUUGCUGACCAAGUCCUCGUACUCUGCUGGCCCCACAGUCUUUGUCGACAUUCGUAGCAAGCUGAGAGCCUCCAAAACCCAGACUAGCUAGCAAGUCCAGCAUUUCUGGCCAAGGAGACAUUGGGAACCCUGCGAGCCGGUUUGCACUUCGACGCUCGCGUGUGUGUUCGCUUCGGCAUUCAGCAUCCUGAAGUGUGAGGUGGCAGCUGUGUGCUUAGGAGAGGGGUGAAGGCCCCUGCUCUGCGGCUCCAGGUGAGGCCCUCCAUGUGCCUGGAGCUGGGAUUGCGGCAGCUCUCAGACCUUGCUGGACAGGGCAGUGCACACGGGGCUGGGCUGCGGUCCCACAAGGCUGUGGCUGUCUCCACGAGACUUCAGCAGGUCAGCUUAGAGUCCGAGGCCAGCCGCGGGGCUCUCCGCUUUCCCGAGGCCUCUGGCCCAGAGCUAACCAGCUUGCAGGGUGCUCAGGGCUCACAAGAACCUUCCUCUGUGCCUGGAGCUGUCAGGGUGAGGACAGGAGGGUGAGAGCGAGUGGCAGAGAGGCCUCCUGACCUCCAGGAAGGCCUGGCAUGUGGC